Molecule: long non-coding RNA, 265 nt
Organism: Cydia amplana
Lineage: Eukaryota; Metazoa; Arthropoda; Insecta; Lepidoptera; Tortricidae
Exons: 3
Source: RefSeq, a predicted model, not a curated record
CUCUCAAGUUAUUGUGUGAUCUACUCAUUCGGGAGUAAGUCGUGUUAAUAAAAACAAAAUACCCAUUGCUUUUUUACUUCGUAUUUAUUUAUGUAUUUGUAAAUCCGACGAUGAGGAAAGGUGUAUUUAUAUGUUUUUGGACCUAUGUCAUACUGACGGAAGGGGUAACGGAUAAGCCUUCAGUGCACUGGUGGUGCGAUGAAAUAGAGUGUUAUUACAGUGAUACAAUACCCUUCGAAGAAAAAUGUGAUAGCAACAAAUCCAU